GCUAGAGCAGUGGGAGAAAAGCAUGGGAUGAUUGUGGAGUGAAUUGGAAACAAAGCAAGGGUGAAGGGAGGCUGAGGUCACUGGGUGUCUAGGUAGGUUGCUUCUGAAGCAGUCCACCAAUAACAUGGAGAGGUCCCCUUCAGGCUCUCCAGUCUCACCAGUCAGAUAGUCACCCUUGUCCUUUAAUUGUUGGUGUGGUGUUGCCUCAUGCCAAAACAACUCCUGAACCUCUUCGUUUUCCCACCAUCAUCACCAGGGCCAUUAUAAAGGGACGGCGCCCGUGGAUCCCCGGCAGCAAAGCCAUGGCGUUCUUCAACGGCGGGUCGCGGGCGCUCGUCGAAAUCCUGACGAGGUUCCAGAGCUCUGAGAGGCCAAUGCCGGUGGACCACACCUUCUUCGAGUUGGGAUCAGUGCGAUACCAUGUACAGGCCUCGGCGUCGGACCCCGAGAACGUGUACCUGUCGAUAUCGACGCCGUCCCUCUCCCACGAGGCGUCGACGUCGACCUGCCUGCCGGAGUUCACGCUGCAGGAGGUGAGGAAGAUGUACCACAAGUUCGCGGAGAUCGUGGAGCCGGCCAGAGAGGGGUACGCACUGACGCUGAAGCUCAACUUCUCCGGCCUCACCAGGCCGAAGGAUCGCGCCAGGGCUGUCCGGCAGGUGUCGCUGCUGCAGUCCAUCGUCCUCGGGUCGCAGCUGAAGCACCUGCUGGGGAGCCUCGGCUCCUCCGGUGCCACCAAGCUCGUGUACAACCACCGCGACCCCUUCUUCGUCAGCAGAACGCCGGGGAAGAUCAACGCCAUUUUCCCCAUGCGUUUCCGGGACGACACGGACGUAGCCGUCGCCACCUCCUUCUUCCAGGAGCUGCAGGACGCAGGGAGCUCGUACGCGAAGGCGCCCAAGUGCAGCUGGUCGGCCAUCCCACCACCGGAGCUGCGGGGGGAGUCCGUGCAGCACCUCACCACCAACGGCGGCUUCGUCUCCUUCGACAUCUUCGAGCGGCACGUGAAGCGGAAGAGGGCCGCCAAAACGGCGUGGAUCCUGCUCAACUUCCAGGCCUACGUCAAGUACCACAUCAAGUGCACCCGAAACUACAUUCAGAGCAGGAUGAGAAAGCGGCAGGAGAGCUUGGCAGAGUUUUGCAGGAAAAAAGGGUACGUGUUUAUGGGUUUAUCGGACAUUAAAACCAAUAAACGGAAAGAAUGAGAAGAAUGGAUGUAAACACGCUGUCAUUUGUACUUGCCUACCUUUGACAACUCUCGCAGACUACUGAAAGAGUUUGGAAUUUCGACGUUCCCGUAGCUAAAACCAAGUUUGUAGUGAUUACCGUUUGUUCAUUGAGCUGCAGGUAAUCCAAAAUGCGAGGCUAAGGGGUGGCCAGGAUAAGAAGAAACUACAAGUGAGGAAGAAGAGCAAGAGAAGGCUGUUCAGCCUUGGCAAGGCCAAGAAACUGCAGAAGGGUUUUAGGUCCGUCAUUGACGGGCUCCGACGGCUCCGGCUGAGGAUCAGAGUGAAGGCUCUGGACCGGUUCAGGCGGUGCUUUGUCAUGCCCAAGCUCGCUACGAAGAAGCAUGAUUACCUCAGACUAGGAGCAUGAA
Molecule: RNA transcript, 1597 nt
Organism: Triticum aestivum (bread wheat)
Lineage: Eukaryota; Viridiplantae; Streptophyta; Magnoliopsida; Poales; Poaceae
Gene name: actin-related protein 2/3 complex subunit 2B
Exons: 9
Source: RefSeq, a predicted model, not a curated record